Mya arenaria is the source of this 1753-nucleotide long non-coding RNA. RefSeq lists it as uncharacterized. NCBI's taxonomy places the organism in Eukaryota, Metazoa, Mollusca, Bivalvia, Myida, Myidae. The transcript is spliced from 6 exons. The record is from RefSeq and is a predicted model, not a curated record.
UUUUGAGAAUCGAUUUCAAUACAGCAGUAUGCAAUCGACACUAGAUGUUUCAGACAUUUAGCUUCAAACAGGGUAGUGAUUUUCUGCAUGAACAGGAUUCGUGUAAUCAGUUUCAUCGUGGUGCCAGUACCUUCUACCAAUCUGAUUUCGUAGCCCAUUGCCAGACUGAAUAAAAGGAAGAAAAAAACUUGCGCGGAUCUCAGGACUUCCUCUUUCCUCUUCAACAUUUCAAGAAGCUCGAGCCAAGCGUGUUCGAGCAAACGGGAUUCAACUGUUUCGUGCUAAUACGACGAAAAGACGUGCACCAGGGAGCAAAACUGCCGCUAGCAGCAGUCGCCUCGUGUCAUAGACAGUUAUAGCCGUAAUAGCGUGAGCGACGACGAAGAUGUCUCAGUCCCGCCCGCCUCCGCCGUUGCAAUCUGACAUUUCACCUCCGGCCCAUGAUAGAACGAAUCGAAGCCAGACCUGCACAACGCCGGAUGCCAACAUGGGUCCGAGCGAAGAAGAUCUUCCCUCCAACAUGGAGCCUCAAACUGUAAAUCCAGAUUCAGUUCCAAAAUGGCUUCCACAACCAAGGAAUCUCAGAUCAAUAGACAAAAUAAAGACACGAGCCACAGGAUCAGAAAAGAAAACACCAGCUGUUCCCGUGCCAAUUUCUGGAGCAACAGUGGUAUAUCCAACAACAAUUACUGGCCCCUUCCCGUCAACAGUGACCUCAGAUACCACACAAGCAGGGUCUUCUCUCCCGCCUCCAAAUUUAAGAAAAUAAAUUGUUAGUACUUCUUUUACAACAAUGAACUCAGACUCAACACUUUUAUUUCUGAUUUUAGGUUAUUAAAUUAAAUUGAAUAUAUAUUUUACAUUCGACUCUUAUUGUGUAAUUGGAGCUUAGUAUUAAUGUCCUGACUAUAUGUUUUCUCUGGUUAUAUCUUUUUAGAAUUUUUUGGUUCAGAAAAGGUUUAAAUGAACUGUGUCUAUAAAGCUCUACUUAACGUUAGACAAUUAGACCAAAUGGCGACGGUUUAAAGUCAAUGCUACAAAUGAAGUUUAAGCUAUACCGAUUGAUAUAAGAUACACUGAUCUAUUUUCAAUAGGAAUUGAUUUAACUAUUAAUAAACACACAGGUAGUUAUACUCAACAAUAUACGUGGAAAUAAAGGUGAAUCAUUUAAAUCAUAUUUGUUGUGUUUUAAAAUGCUGUAUGUUCCCCUGGUAUGGUUGGAUAAUUAGAAUAUAAGCAGGAUUUCUUGGUGGUUUUAAAAACGACAUUAUGGGAAAAACACAUUCUAAAACAGAGAAGAAGAAAGAUGGACAAUCAUGCAAUGGCACCGAUCGUACGUCAUCAGUAUCAAAGGGUGGAAGUGCCUCACCAUACAACUCAGAAUCGGGACCUGACCGAGUUCCAGACGACAAUUUGCCACAAGAGGUAAUAGUCCCCGGACCAUCUCCAUCAGAACUUGACCUACCAAAACCAAACCUAGGAAGACAUAAGACCUAAUAAAAAAACAACUUGUUUUUAGUUUCAGCAUGGACUGUUAUAAAACUUUUUCUAAGCCACAUUAAGUGUAGUGGUGUUGUUGUUGUUUUUCAUUUUUAUAUGACUUCAAUUAUUAAAUAUAAAGGAUACCUUUGUAAGCAUAUACAUCCAUAUAUAUGUAUGUUAUUUGGUUAAUUUUCGCGGGGUUGGCAACGUUUUAUAAAAAAAAUUAUUAUAUACCCAUCAUAAAUCCACACGCAAUACAUAUCGAAAAAUA